This 253-nucleotide ribosomal RNA is filed under the name uncultured bacterium. RNAcentral's name for it is "partial 16S ribosomal RNA". It matches the Rfam family "Bacterial small subunit ribosomal RNA", at positions 524 to 776 of the family's 1533-position model. The record is from RNAcentral.
UACGUAGGGGGCAAGCGUUGUCCGGAUUUAUUGGGCGUAAAGAGCGUGUAGGCGGUUUGGUAGGUCCGCUGUGAAAACUCGAGGCUCAACCUCGAGACGCCGGUGGAAACCAUCAGACUAGAGUCCGGAAGAGGAGAGUGGAAUUCCUGGUGUAGCGGUGAAAUGCGCAGAUAUCAGGAAGAACACCCGUGGCGAAGGCGGCUCUCUGGGACGGUACUGACGCUGAGACGCGAAAGCGUGGGGAGCGAACAGG